GACGAACGCUGGCGGCGUGCUUAACACACGCAAGUCGAACGGAAAGGCCCUGCUUUUGUGGGGUGCUCGAGUGGCGAACGGGUGAGUAACACGUGAGUAACCUGCCCUUGACUUUGGGAUAACUUCAGGAAACUGGGGCUAAUACCGGAUAGGAGCUCCUGCUGCAUGGUGGGGGUUGGAAAGUUUCGGCGGUUGGGGAUGGACUCGCGGCUUAUCAGCUUGUUGGUGGGGUAGUGGCUUACCAAGGCUUUGACGGGUAGCCGGCCUGAGAGGGUGACCGGCCACAUUGGGACUGAGAUACGGCCCAGACUCCUACGGGAGGCAGCAGUGGGGAAGAGUGCACAAUGGGCGGAAGCCUGAUGCAGCAACGCCGCGUGCGGGAUGACGGCCUUCGGGUUGUAAACCGCUUUCGCCUGUGACGAAGCGUGAGUGACGGUAAUGGGUAAAGAAGCACCGGCUAACUACGUG
RNAcentral lists this ribosomal RNA (468 nucleotides) under uncultured bacterium. RNAcentral describes it as "partial 16S ribosomal RNA". It matches the Rfam family "Bacterial small subunit ribosomal RNA", at positions 28 to 507 of the family's 1533-position model. The record is from RNAcentral.